GAUGAACGCUGGCGGCGUGCCUAAUACAUGCAAGUCGAGCGAACGGACGAGAAGCUUGCUUUUCUGAUGUUAGCGGCGGACGGGUGAGUAACACGUGGAUAACCUACCUAUAAGACUGGGAUAACUUCGGGAAACCGGAGCUAAUACCGGAUAAUAUUUUGAACCGCAUGGUUCAAAAGUGAAAGACGGUCUUGCUGUCACUUAUAGAUGGAUCCGCGCUGCAUUAGCUAGUUGGUAAGGUAACGGCUUACCAAGGCAACGAUGCAUAGCCGACCUGAGAGGGUGAUCGGCCACACUGGAACUGAGACACGGUCCAGACUCCUACGGGAGGCAGCAGUAGGGAAUCUUCCGCAAUGGGCGAAAGCCUGACGGAGCAACGCCGCGUGAGUGAUGAAGGUCUUCGGAUCGUAAAACUCUGUUAUUAGGGAAGAACAUAUGUGUAAGUAACUGUGCACAUCUUGACGGUACCUAAUCAGAAAGCCACGGCUAACUACGUGCCAGCAGCCGCGGUAAUACGUAGGUGGCAAGCGUUAUCCGGAAUUAUUGGGCGUAAAGCGCGCGUAGGCGGUUUUUUAAGUCUGAUGUGAAAGCCCACGGCUCAACCGUGGAGGGUCAUUGGAAACUGGAAAACUUGAGUGCAGAAGAGGAAAGUGGAAUUCCAUGUGUAGCGGUGAAAUGCGCAGAGAUGUGGAGGAACACCAGUGGCGAAGGCGACUUUCUGGUCUGUAACUGACGCUGAUGUGCGAAAGCGUGGGGAUCAAACAGGAUUAGAUACCCUGGUAGUCCACGUCGUAAACGAUGAGUGCUAAGUGUUAGGGGGUUUCCGCCCCUUAGUGCUGCAGCUAACGCAUUAAGCACUCCGCCUGGGGAGUACGACCGCAAGGUUGAAACUCAAAGGAAUUGACGGGGGCCCGCACAAGCGGUGGAGCAUGUGGUUUAAUUCGAAGCAACGCGAAGAACCUUACCAAAUCUUGACAUCCUUUGACAACUCUAGAGAUAGAGCCUUCCCCUUCGGGGGACAAAGUGACAGGUGGUGCAUGGUUGUCGUCAGCUCGUGUCGUGAGAUGUUGGGUUAAGUCCCGCAACGAGCGCAACCCUUAAGCUUAGUUGCCAUCAUUAAGUUGGGCACUCUAAGUUGACUGCCGGUGACAAACCGGAGGAAGGUGGGGAUGACGUCAAAUCAUCAUGCCCCUUAUGAUUUGGGCUACACACGUGCUACAAUGGACAAUACAAAGGGCAGCGAAACCGCGAGGUCAAGCAAAUCCCAUAAAGUUGUUCUCAGUUCGGAUUGUAGUCUGCAACUCGACUACAUGAAGCUGGAAUCGCUAGUAAUCGUAGAUCAGCAUGCUACGGUGAAUACGUUCCCGGGUCU
This 1372-nucleotide ribosomal RNA is filed under the name uncultured bacterium. Its description in RNAcentral is "bacterial SSU rRNA". It matches the Rfam family "Bacterial small subunit ribosomal RNA", at positions 28 to 1381 of the family's 1533-position model. The record is from RNAcentral.